Long non-coding RNA from Gymnodraco acuticeps, 247 nucleotides. RefSeq lists it as uncharacterized. The transcript has 3 exons. The record is from RefSeq and is a predicted model, not a curated record. NCBI's taxonomy places the organism in Eukaryota, Metazoa, Chordata, Actinopteri, Perciformes, Bathydraconidae.
GAUGCAGGCUUGAUAAUCUCACUCCACAGGUGUGCAACCGUUUUUCGGGCAUGGAGGAAACAACGUCAUACAAAUGGACUGUGGUAAAAACCAAGGCACUUAUUGCUUUAAGAAUGGAAAAGGAUGACCUGUUCUGCAAAAAACGCAAUGCUGCCAAAGAAGCAUGGGAGUCAAUCAUUAAGGAAUUGGACCUUGGGCAACAUGUGUCUCACAAACAGGCCUCCAAGAAAUGGGAGAACCUAAAAAA